CUCCUCUUUCCUUCUGGCUAUGUGACGACAAUCAGCUUAUUCACAAGUGCCCCUUUAUUCUGGCUUGCAGGACGACUGUCCAGAGUCCUCUCCUUUCCUGGACGUAACAGAUACAAGUGGUAAGUAUUGAGAGUUUGGAUGCACAAUGGAUACCUGCUGCUACUCGUGGCAAACUCCGAGGCGGCCCAGCGGGUUGUACUCCCGGUCGUCCAGAUGCUGGUGGAACUGCACAAGGGCUGCCGGGAUCCAACUAAAACCGUACUGGUAAGUGUACAGGAGGGGGUUUCCGCGGUUUCUGUAUCCUGAGUGACGGGUCGACAUGCAGGUAGACGCUUCAAAGGGACACGCUAGAUCUGCACAAGAGCAUACAGGUAAGUGUAACAGGACUGGACACGGACAGUGGACAGAGGGGCCGCUGGCUCUUCACUCGGGGGCACAAGUAAGUCCGUAGGAAAGACAACUGGGGCUUCACUUGAGCAUACAGGCGAGUGUACAACACAAUAUGCUGGCUUUAGCUUUGGGCAUAAGGUAAGUACAUCCAAUAUAACUGGGACUUCACUCUGGGCAGACAGGCGAGCGAGUGUACAACACAAUAUGCUGGCUUUAGCUUUGGGCAUAAGGUAAGUACAUCAAAUGUAACCGGGACUUCACUCUGGGCAGACAGGCGAGUGUACAACACAAUAUGCUGGCUUUAGCUUUGGGCAUACGCUUACGGUGAAUAUACAGGGAAACAGGAAGUGAUGUAACUCACAGACCUUCGAGGGAAUAGACGUCAGACGUUCCUUUUCUGAGGCUUCUACCAACUGCUGAUAGAGAGGCGGAUCGAAAACUACUGUUGCGUUGGGCCGAACACGGCCUCCGCUGGCGUCACACACAGGUAAGUUGUUUCACCCGGGGUGUACUACACUGGAUGGGUCGAACGCUUCCCUCUUCUUUCUACCAACCGACAAGGCAAGAGAUAUAGACAGGGGCGAACCUUUGAAGAACUCCACAGCAGGUAAUAAUACACGCACAGCUGAUUUCCUCCUACAGCAGCCAACUCCUCACCAUUAAUACUUCCCAAUAGAUCCACACUGUUCUUACUUGAAAUUGUUUCCCACCACCGUCACGUGGGGAAGAAGGGUCAGGAUGUCAUCGACGGCAUAUAAUUGGAGAUGUUUUCUUCGCCCCCCUCGGUACUCACUUCCUUCACAGGAUUUUGUCGGGCCUGAAAGGUGGUUGUUGACAACACAACACAGCACAACACUGCAAUUUUCAAGUGUAUACACUCACAGCAAAGGACAAAGACUCCACGAGACACUCCACACACUCUUGGUGAAUUUAGGGUCAAAACCCCGUCUGACCAAAGACUCGUCCUGGAAAUCGUGGAGACACUGAUGCCACGAAUAUUCAGAUUUAAACGUCGCCGCCACGACACCCCAACGUCCUCUCUCGCUCACUGGUCCCGGCUCACCCACA
This is a long non-coding RNA of Cyprinus carpio carpio, 1458 nucleotides long. The record is from Ensembl. Lineage: Eukaryota; Metazoa; Chordata; Actinopteri; Cypriniformes; Cyprinidae.